AACACGGAGCUUGCUCUGUGGGAUCAGUGGCGAACGGGUGAGUAACACGUGAGCAACCUGCCCCUGACUCUGGGAUAAGCGCUGGAAACGGCGUCUAAUACUGGAUACGAGUAGCGACCGCAUGGUCAGUUACUGGAAAGAUUUAUUGGUUGGGGAUGGGCUCGCGGCCUAUCAGCUUGUUGGUGAGGUAAUGGCUCACCAAGGCGUCGACGGGUAGCCGGCCUGAGAGGGUGACCGGCCACACUGGGACUGAGACACGGCCCAGACUCCUACGGGAGGCAGCAGUGGGGAAUAUUGCACAAUGGGCGCAAGCCUGAUGCAGCAACGCCGCGUGAGGGAUGACGGCCUUCGGGUUGUAAACCUCUUUUAGCAGGGAAGAAGCGAAAGUGACGGUACCUGCAGAAAAAGCGCCGGCUAACUACGUGCCAGCAGCCGCGGUAAUACGUAGGGCGCAAGCGUUAUCCGGAAUUAUUGGGCGUAAAGAGCUCGUAGGCGGUUUGUCGCGUCUGC
This 510-nucleotide ribosomal RNA is filed under the name Pelobium manganitolerans. RNAcentral's name for it is "Bacterial small subunit ribosomal RNA". It matches the Rfam family "Bacterial small subunit ribosomal RNA", at positions 70 to 592 of the family's 1533-position model. The record is from Rfam by way of RNAcentral. Lineage: Bacteria; Pseudomonadati; Bacteroidota; Sphingobacteriia; Sphingobacteriales; Sphingobacteriaceae.